CAUGAUUACGCCAAGCUAUUUAGGUGACACUWURGAAUACUCAAGCUAUGCAUCCAACGCGUUGGGAGCUCUCCCAUAUGGUCGACCYGCAGSCGGCCGCGAAUUCACUAGUGAUUAGAGUUUGAUCCUGGCUCAGAAUGAACGCUGGCGGCGUGCCUAACACAUGCAAGUCGCACGAGAACUCCCCUUUCGGGGGGAUAGUAAAGUGGCGCACGGGUGAGUAACGCGUGGAUAACCUAGCUCCGAGUCUGGGAUAACACUGCGAAAGCGGUGCUAAUACCGGAUAACAUCACGGGAUCUCUGGGUUCUGUGAUCAAAGAUGGCCUCUACAUGUAAGCUAGUGCUUGGAGAUGGGUCCGCGUACCAUUAGCUAGUUGGCGGGGUAAAAGCCCACCAAGGCUGCGAUGGUUAGCUGGUCUGAGAGGAUGAUCAGCCMCACUGGAACUGACACACGGUCCAGACUCCUACGGGAGGCAGCAGUGAGGAAUCUUGCGCAAUGGGGGAAACCCUGASGCAGCAACGCCGCGUGAGUGAUGAAGGCCUUCGGGUSGUAAAGCUCUGUCAAGCGGGAAGAAUACGCUCUAUGCCAAUACCAUGGGGSRCUGACGGYACCGCUGAAGGAAGCAC
This 627-nucleotide ribosomal RNA is filed under the name uncultured delta proteobacterium. Its description in RNAcentral is "bacterial SSU rRNA". The record is from RNAcentral. Lineage: Bacteria; Deltaproteobacteria.